RNAcentral lists this ribosomal RNA (2912 nucleotides) under Desulfosarcina sp. RNAcentral's name for it is "23S ribosomal RNA". It matches the Rfam family "Archaeal large subunit ribosomal RNA". Lineage: Bacteria; Pseudomonadati; Thermodesulfobacteriota; Desulfobacteria; Desulfobacterales; Desulfosarcinaceae. The record is from RNAcentral.
GGUAAGUGCACCAGAUGUUAUUAGGUGGAUGACUUGGCUUGAGUUGGCGAUGAAGGACGUGACUAACUACGAUAUUGCCUCGGCGAGUUGUAUGUAAACUUUGAACCGAGGAUGUCCGAAUGAGACUUCUUCAAAGAAUCCGUAAGGAUGGCGAACGCAGGGAAUUGAAACGUCUUAGUACCUGCAGGAAAAGAAACCAAUUGGGAUGCUGUAAGUAAGGGCGACUGAAAACGGCAUAGAGCAAACUGAAUCCUUUGCAGUAAUGUAAAGGAGAUGUGGUGUUGUAAGACUACCCUUAAGUCCGAAUCAACCAAUCUGAACUUCCCUGGAACGGGAGGCCGUAGAGGGUGAAAGCCCCGUAAGAAUAAAUUGAAGGAUCUAGGUAGUAUCUUGAGUAGCGUUUGUUGGAUAUCAAGCGUGAAUCUGGGGGACAUUAACCUCUAACUCUAAAUACAUCUCAAGUCCGAUAGCGAAUAGUACCGUGAGGGAACGUUGAAAAGAACCCUUAACAGGAAGUUAAAAGACUCUGAAACCUAAUAAUGAUAGUGGGAUACGGCUCUAAGGAGUUGUAUCGUGCGUUUUGAAUAACGUGCCAGGGAGUUAAUUUGUGUGGCGAGGAUAAUCAUUUAACAUGAGCAUCCAGAGCGAAAGCGAUUUUCCGCAGUUUACGAGGGAAAAGGUAUGAAAGUGCCUCAAGUCACAUGGAUCAGACCCGAAGCCUGUCGAUCUAACCCUGAGUAAGGUGAAGUGUCAGUAAAAUGAUGUGGAGGCCUGAAGAGGUGCUACGAGCAAGUGCUCUUGUAACUUGGGGCUAGGGGUGAAAAGCCAAUCGAGACAGGUGAUAGCUGGUUCCUAUUAAAGUUGGCCGUAGUCAAGUCUGUGGCGAGAUAACUGAAGUGGUAGAGAUACGGAUUGAGGAUUUUGGGCUGGAAACGGCUCGGUCUUCUGUCCAACUCCGAAUGCUUUAGUAUUGAAGACCCGUGGAAACGGGGCGCUGGGGUAAGCUUAGCGUCCGAGAGGGGAACAACCCAGACUAUAGUUAAGGUCCCAAAAUGUUGAUUAAGUGUUAAAGGGUGAAAGGUGUUUAUACCCUAAGACAGCGAGGAGGUUGGCUUAGAAGCAGCCACCCUACAAUAAGUGCGUAACAGCUUACUUGUCGAGGGUAUAGGCCCUGAAAAUGGACGGGGCUAAAUCAACUACCGAUACUAUAGACAUCAGAAAUGAUUGUGGUAAAUAGGCGUUCUGGUUGGGUAAAAGUGUUUUCGAGAGGAAGCAUGAACCGAUUAGAAAUGAGAAUCCUGGUGGUAGUAGGAUCAGAGCGGUGUGAGAAUCACCGCCGCUGAAAGGGCAAGGGUUCCUUGACAAUGCAAAUCAGUCAAGGGUCAGUUGAUCCUAACCUAACUCCUAACUGGAGUGAUGGGAAAGGGUAACAGGUUAAUAUUCCUGUACUGCUUAAGUAUGUGCGGCAACGCAAGUUAAAUUUCAGACAUUUCUGGCUAGACCGACAAGAAUUUAUUCUUGUUAAUAACAAUAAAUCUAAUGAGUACUGUAAUGGUGAGAUUUAGAUUAAGGAUUAGAACAGUACACCUUAUGGUGUAUUCGGUUGAUGCCCGGAAUCCGUGAAAAUGGAAUUUGAAUAGAUCUUAAGUAAUCAUACCUAGAACCGGCACAGGUGCCCCUAGGUGAGAAACCUAAAGUGUGAAGGUGUAAUCUAAUUGAGGGAAUUCGGCAAUCUAGCCCCGUAUCUUCGGUAUAAGGGGUCCCUGCUUUUGUUUUCGUAUGAGUGCGAAAGCAGGGCGCAGUGACUAGGGGGGUCCGACUGUUUAACAAAAACUUAACCUUCUGCUAGUCCGUAAGGAUGCGUACAGAAGGUGACGUCUGCCCAGUGCCAGUACUUUAAGCUCUGUUUCAACGGAGUGAAGAGCUGGUAAACGGCGGGAGUAACUAUAACUCUCUUAAGGUAGCGAAAUGCCUUGCCGUUUGAUUGACGGCCUGCAUGAAUGGCGUAACGAGAUCCCCGCUGUCCCCAAUUAGAAGCCUCCGAACACUCUUUACUGGUGCAAAGGCCAGUGUUUCCCAGUGGGAAGUGAAGACCCCGUGAAACUUUACUGUAGCCUGUAGUUGUAACGUGAAACUUGUUGUACAGCGUAAAUGGGAGUUGUUAUGUUUGGGUCGCCAGAUCUGAAAUAGACAUCAAUGGAACACCAUUCUCCGAAUUUUACGUUACUUUACCUGCUUAGGCAGGGACACCUAUUGGUAGACAGUUUGGCUGGGGUGGCACCCCGCUGAAAAGAUAUCAGUGGGGCCCAAUGGUUAGCUCAACCGGGUCAGAAAUCCGGUGUAGAGUGCAAAGGCAAAAGCUAGCCUGAUUGGAAUCGUAAUAAUAUCGCGUCCAAACACGAAAGUGUGGCUUAGCGAACUCCUGAAUCCUCCUUAAUGGGGGUCAGGAAUGACUGAAAAGUUACUCCGGGGAUAACAGAGUUGUCGCGCCCGAGAGCUCAAAUCGACGGCGCGGCUUGCUACAUCGAUGUCGGCUCUUCCUAUCCUGGCAGUGCAGAAGCUGCCAAGGGUGAGGGUGUUCACCUAUCAAAAGGGAUCGUGAGCUGGGUUCAGAACGUUGUGAGACAGUUUGUUUAAUAUCUACUGGGAAUGUUGGUGUCUGAGGGGAAGGGUCUUCUAGUACGAGAGGAACGAAGGCUCGACGCCACUGGUGUAUCGGUUGUCCAAAAGGGCAUGCCGAGCAGCUACGCGUUAAUGGAUAAGUGCUGAAAGCAUCUAAGCACGAAGCCAUUCUUGAAAAGAGACACUAUGGAUAUCGCUAAAAGAGUGGUUUGAUAGAAUUGGUGUAUACGUACGAAGCUUCGGCGACGUAUUAAGCAUGCAAUCACUAACAAUCCUUUUGCACUUACCAU